Molecule: ribosomal RNA, 917 nt
Filed under: uncultured bacterium
Lineage: Bacteria
Description: bacterial SSU rRNA
Rfam family: Bacterial small subunit ribosomal RNA
Source: RNAcentral
AGAGUUUGAUCAUGGCUCAGAUUGAACGCUGGCGGCAGGCCUAACACAUGCAAGUCGAGCGGUAACAGAAAGUAGCUUGCUACUUUGCUGACGAGCGGCGGACGGGUGAGUAAUGCUUGGGAACAUGCCUUGAGGUGGGGGACAACAGUUGGAAACGACUGCUAAUACCGCAUAAUGUCUACGGACCAAAGGGGGCUUCGGCUCUCGCCUUUAGAUUGGCCCAAGUAGGAUUAGCUAGUUGGUGAGGUAAUGGCUCACCAAGGCGACGAACCCUAGCUGGUUUGAGAGGAUGAUCAGCCACACUGGGACUGAGACACGGCCCAGACUCCUACGGGAGGCAGCAGUGGGGAAUAUUGCACAAUGGGCGCAAGCCUGAUGCAGCCAUGCCGCGUGUGUGAAGAAGGCCUUCGGGUUGUAAAGCACUUUCAGUCAGGAGGAAAGGUUAGUAGUUAAUACCUGCUAGCUGUAACGUUACUGACAGAAGAAGCACCGGCUAACUCCGUGCCAGCAGCCGCGGUAAUACGGAGGGUGCGAGCGUUAAUCGGAAUUACUGGGCGUAAAGCGUACGCAGGCGGUUUGUUAAGCGAGAUGUGAAAGCCCCGGGCUCAACCUGGGAACUGCAUUUCGAACUGGCAAACUAGAGUGUGAUAGAGGGUGGUAGAAUUUCAGGUGUAGCGGUGAAAUGCGUAGAGAUCUGAAGGAAUACCGAUGGCGAAGGCAGCCACCUGGGUCAAACACUGACGCUCAUGUACGAAAGCGUGGGGGAGCAAACGGGAUUAGAUACCCCGGUAGUCCACGCCGUAAACGAUGUCUACUAGAAGCUCGGAGCCUCGGUUCUGUUUUUUCAAAGCUUAACGCAUUAAGUAGACCGCCUGGGGAGUACGGCCGCAAAGGUUAAAACUCAAAGGAAUUGACGG